AGCCUCCUACUAUCAGCCAUGGUCAACCUCACGGUGUUCUUCGACAUUGCCGUGGAUGGCGAGCCCUUGGGCCGCGUCUCUUUCGAGCUGUUUGCAGACAAGGUUCCAAAGACAGAAAACUUUCAUGCUCUGAGCACUGGAGAGAAAGGAUUUGGUUAUAAGGGUUCCUGCUUUCACAGAAUUAUUCCAGGGUUUAUGUGUCAGGGUGGUGACUUCACACGCCAUAAUGGCACUGGUGGCAAGUCCAUCUACGGGGAGAAAUUUGAUGAUGAGAAUUUCAUCCUAAAGCAUACAGGUCCCGGCAUCUUGUCCAUGGCAAAUGCUGGACCCCAACACAAACGGUUCCCAGUUUUUCAUCUGCACUGUCAGGACUGAGUGGUUGGAUGGCAAGCAUGUGGUCUUUGGCAAGGUGAAAGAAGGCGUGAGUAUUGUGGAGGCCAUGGAGCGCUUUGGGUCCAGGAAUGGCAAGACCAGCAAGAAGAUCACCAGUGCUGACUGUGGACAAUUUUAAUAAGUUUGACUUGUGUUUUAUCUUAACCACCAGACCAUUCCUUCUGUAGCUCAGGAGAGCGCCCCUCCACCCUAUUUGCUGGCAGUAUCCUAAAAUCUGUGCUCUCGCUGCAGUUCCCUUUGGGUUCCAUGUUUUCCUUGUUCCCUUCCAUGCCUAGCUGGAUUGCAGAGUUAAGUUUAUGAUUAUGAAAUAAAGACUAAAUAACAAAAAA
Sapajus apella (tufted capuchin) is the source of this 722-nucleotide RNA transcript. It is a transcript of the gene named peptidyl-prolyl cis-trans isomerase A-like, with no coding region annotated. Lineage: Eukaryota; Metazoa; Chordata; Mammalia; Primates; Cebidae. The record is from RefSeq and is a predicted model, not a curated record. The transcript has a single exon.